UAACUCUAAAAGUGGAUUUCUAAACAGUGCUAUACAAUAUAAAAACGGGCUAUAGAUCGCCAUUAACUGAAGGUAGAUCACCAUGUUAGGGGCCAUGGGGACUUACAAUACUUUUGCAACCGU
Long non-coding RNA from Haliotis rubra (blacklip abalone), 123 nucleotides. RefSeq lists it as uncharacterized. The transcript has 3 exons. NCBI's taxonomy places the organism in Eukaryota, Metazoa, Mollusca, Gastropoda, Lepetellida, Haliotidae. The record is from RefSeq and is a predicted model, not a curated record.